Molecule: long non-coding RNA, 873 nt
Organism: Panicum virgatum (switchgrass)
Lineage: Eukaryota; Viridiplantae; Streptophyta; Magnoliopsida; Poales; Poaceae
Exons: 2
Source: RefSeq, a predicted model, not a curated record
GAAAAAAUUGUGAGGAUCAACAAUUUACCUGUGGUCAAUGUAUCUGAUGAGCAGGCCAUGAGCGAGUUUGUUGAGUCUGGUACUAGUUCCUUAGGUCUGGUAUGUGGUAAAAGACGUGUGGAAUUUGCAUUUGCCCAAUUUGCAUCACAAAAUUCAGAUGCUCGUUCAGAAUGAUCAGAAUUGGAUAUUUAUUUGGAGGACCCAAGGAUCCUUGUGAGGUCAGAUGAGAACUUCAAUGUUCUAGCAUGGUGGAAGAAGAAUUCAGAUGCAUAUCCAGUCUUGUCUUUGAUGGCUAGAGAUUUCCUUGCUAUCCCUGUGAGCACAGUGUCCUCAGAGUCUGCAUUUAAUGCUGAUAGAAGAAUCCUUGGUAAAGAUAGGACUUCACUCUCCCCUGAAACUCUUGAAGCCCUAAUUUGUACUAAAGAUUGGUUGAUUGGAUUCAAUGAUGAAGAGGAAGGCGAACCAAUGAGUGGAAAAAGGAUGUUCGGUUCAGAUGAUGAUGAAGAUGAUGAGUGAAGGCCCUUUGCAUAAGGCUCCUUAUUUUUCAGGCUCUAUGUUGCGUAUUCUGCUUCUGGCUAAGAUACAUGCUUACUGGAUGGUACAAAUGAUGACUAGCAGAAGACAUAUGUCGCUCUACUUAUCGCAAAAAUCAGCGGCGUCUGAUAACUGCCAGUUCCAUCGACAUAUUUGUAGACUAACUAUUGACAGUUCAUUUGGUUACUCAUUGUUGACAGCUAUUUUGUUUGCUAUUUAUUUGUGACGUGUGGUGGCUGGUACUAACCUGAUAUGUAUAUUUGUUUUGUUGAGCCACGCUGGCUUGUACUAUUGGUGGCAGAAUGGCAGCUCACGGGCUGCGAGGUCAUCCAUUGCUCU